This 235-nucleotide ribosomal RNA is filed under the name uncultured bacterium. Its description in RNAcentral is "partial 16S ribosomal RNA". It matches the Rfam family "Bacterial small subunit ribosomal RNA", at positions 524 to 759 of the family's 1533-position model. The record is from RNAcentral.
UACGUAGGGUGCAAGCGUUAAUCGGAAUUACUGGGCGUAAAGCGUGCGCAGGCGGUUUUGUAAGUCUGUCGUGAAAUCCCCCGGGCUCAACCUGGGAAUUGCGAUGGAGACUGCAAGGCUAGAAUCUGGCAGAGGGGGUAGAAUUCCACGUGUAGCAGUGAAAUGCGUAGAUAUGCGGAGGAACACCGAUGGCGAAGGCAAUCCCUGGCCUGCACUGACGCUCGAUGCACGGAAA